RNAcentral lists this ribosomal RNA (975 nucleotides) under Triticum aestivum (bread wheat). RNAcentral describes it as "partial small subunit ribosomal RNA". Lineage: Eukaryota; Viridiplantae; Streptophyta; Magnoliopsida; Poales; Poaceae. The record is from RNAcentral.
AUGCUGGAUUAUGUUCAGAACAUGCCUUCCGACGUGAGUGACUCUGAAGACACGUCUAUUGGUGAAGCUAAUGCUAUCUGUCUGUCUGCUGCUACUUUGGGAGAUAACUCAGAUCCAGCAGUAUCAACCAUGAAAUUGAAAGUAUACUUGCAAGGACAGCCGUUAAUAUUUCUGGUCGAUUCAGGCAGCACGCAUUCCUUUCUUGAUUGCACAGUAGCAACUUCAGUGCAAGGCAUAACUUCUAUGCCAAUUUACCUAGUUAAAGUGGCUAAUGGCAACACAGUUCCUUGUUCUCAACAGUUACUGAAUGGCAAGUGGUCCUAUGCUGGUCAUGAAUUUGUCAGUAACUUCAGAGUUUUUCCCUUGGGAUCUUACCAUGGUAUUUUGGGUUUAGAUUGGCUCGCUACUCACAGUCUAAUGCAGGUAGACUGGGCUGCCCAUUGGCUAUCCUUCCAGCAUUCAAACCAACAGGUUACACUAUUAGGUCAAGAUGCUGUUCCUCAGGUUUAUGCCAUGGUGGAACUGUCAGCCUUACUUGUGACUGAAAAUUUAGCUGUAUCUAAACUACCUUCUGAGAUACAAGCACUCCUAACUAAGUAUGCUCCUGUAUUUGAAGCUCCUUCUGGUCUACCUCCAAGGAGAAAGUAUGAUCACAAGAUUCCUUUAGUACCUGGAGCUCAACCAGUAUCCAGUAGGCCUUAUAGACUGCCUCCUGCUUUGAAAGAUGAAAUGGAAACGCAAGUGAAGGAAAUGUUAGAUGCUGGAAUUAUAAGACCCAGCACUAGUGCCUUUUCUUCUCCAAUGAUAUUAGUACAAAAGAAGGACAAAACAUGGAGACCUGUCUAUGAUUAUAGGAAACUGAAUGCUAUCACAGUCAAGAGCAAGUAUCCAAUUCCUGUCAUUAAUGAGUUGUUGGAUGAAUUAGCUGGGGCUUGUUGGUUUUCAAAACUGGAUCUUAGAGCAGGGUACCAUUAG